This is an RNA transcript of Asparagus officinalis (garden asparagus), 2431 nucleotides long. RefSeq lists it as uncharacterized. The record is from RefSeq and is a predicted model, not a curated record. NCBI's taxonomy places the organism in Eukaryota, Viridiplantae, Streptophyta, Magnoliopsida, Asparagales, Asparagaceae. The transcript has 4 exons.
UCCUUUCCCACAAAAUUUCAGGAACACAGCGCCUCAUCCCCCCAAAUCUAAAAUUUCAGGAACACAGCGCCUCAUCCCCCCAAAUCUUCAACUCCAAGCUCUUACUCCUCCCUCCACCGCCUCCCCCUCCUCUCCCUCUCCCUCCUCAAGCUCACCCCAUGGCCAACUCUGAGUCCCCCAUGGCCACAGAAUCCCAACUCCAAAACCCUAACCCUAACCCCAAACCCCAAUUGCCCUCUCGCCCCCACCGCACCCAUGGCCGCGUCCUCAACCGCCCUCUUAACGCCGCUGGUGACGUCCGCCGCCACUACGACUUCCUCCGCGAGCUCGGCCGCGGCCAGUUCGGCGUCACCUACCUCGUCGCCGACAAGAUGACCGGCGAUCGCUUCGCCUGCAAGUCGAUCCCCCCGCCACCCUCUCUCUCUCUCUCUGUUUUUUUUAAACUUAUUAGUGUUUCUGCCUUACAAGUAUCAAUUCUGAUCAACAGCUUAGUUUGAUUCAAUGAUCUGAAAUGCUAUAUGAAAACCCUAAAGCAAAUAAAGCUGAACUCAGAGCCUCUCAAGUACUUGAAUAUUUUCCAAUUCGGCAUCGACCAAAGCCCCGAAAACUCAAAUCUUUUUUGCUACUCGCUAGUUCCUCCUUCCAUUGCGCACAAAUAGAAACAGAAUGUCAGCGGCAAGCGGCGGCUGCCGAAUUGAGGAGGGUCUCAAAGUGUAGAGCUCAUUGUAUUCGGUCAUUUCUACUGAUUACAGGGUAUGUUUUACUGAUUACAGGGUAUGUUUUACUAUGAAUUGAACUUGCCAAUUUUUUCUUCAGACUUUUAUGAUAUUUCAUGUUGGUAUAUAUCUAUAUGCUUCAUAUUUUCUGUCCUCUUUUUUCUUUUUUGCUUGAUGGAAAUCUAAUUUGUGACUGAGCAUUGUCAAAGGAAAGAGAGAAACAGCAAAAACUAAUUCUAUGCUUAACCAAUUUUUCAUUUUCUAUAAUUAUCUGCUGCUUCUUCAUGUUUCCAACAAUCCAAAGUAGGGUCGCAAUCAUCCUUCAGUUGCCUCAUUUCCUCACAUUGUACAUUUAUAUUAUGAAAAUGAAAAUUGGUGAUUAACCUCUGUUUCAGAUGAAUCACAAACAUACACAUUACUUGUUGCUGGUUGUUGGUUGGUCUGGUUGUUGGUUGGUCUGGUUGUUGGUUGAUCUUGUUGUUGGUUGAUCUGGUUGCUGGUUGUUGGUUGAUCUGGUUGCUGGUUGUUGGUUGAUCUUGUUGUUGGUUGUUGCUGAUUUCAUUCCUUCUGUUUUUGUUCCUUCUGUUUUUGGUUGUUGGGUUCAGUCACUUGGAGUUCUAUGUGUGUUCAAAUUUUCCGCACUGUUUGUUGAUUAUGAUACUGUUUGUGGGUGUUUAAUUUAGGCUAUGAUGAUUGUCAAUUUUUCUGAGAUUAGCAACCUGCAAUAUCGGUUGAUAUUGCACUGGAUGGCUAACAAUGAUGACAUUGAACAAGUUCUGAGCCCACAGCCAUAAUUUGCAUAUACAUGUGGCUGAUUUAUUUGACAUGAUGUCAAGAAAUAUUUUCAAAUGAUUUUUUGCACAUAAAGUUCAACAUGCAUAAAUUAUCAAGAUCGAUGCUAUUUGCUAUGUUAUAUACUAAAAUAUGGCUAUUCAGACCGUUUAUAUGUUUUUAUAGGUUUCAGAAAUUUGUUUGGCUAAUUCAGGUACGUAUUUCAUAAAUUUAUGAAUAAUCAGGUUAUUACAGGUCUUGUUUAUUUUUUUCUUGGAAAACAGGUUUUGUGUGAUUAUUUUCAUCUCAAACAGGUAUAUUUCAUGUCAAAUCAGGUACGCAAUUCAUGUUACAGUAGGUUUCAUAUGAUUUUAGGUUUCGUAUGAUUUCAUUAAUACAAACAGAAAUUUAUAAUUCAUUCGGGAUAUUAUUAUUUGUUCAUGAUACAAACAGAAAUUUAUAAUUCUUAAUACUUACCAUGCUUGUCCCUGGAGCUAAAAUUGUUCCUGCAUACACACAUUUUGAGAUUAAGUACCUCAUCGCACGCUCUUUGAAUAUUAAUUGUUUUGGGUACAGGAACUCUCCAUUUUACUAUUCUUGGUGGAACACUAUUCCUCAAAUUGUUCCUGCUGGAUUCAUCUACUAACUGAUUUAGAUAAUAGCUUUAGAUAAUAGCUUGUACUAAGAAAUAUGAUACUCUACUUCGAUAACUCCUUGCCUUAUGCAUAACCGUUCUUCAUUUUGCAGCAUUCCUGGCUAUUAUGAGGCAUUCUGGAAGGAGGUGGAUGAUGUUAAACAAAUCUGGAAGAACAGAAAGGAACUCAAAUAGAUUAUUAAUCAUGUAUCGAUGAAUUAUACAUUCUUUCCUAGCAGUGUCAUAGCCAUUGUAAAUAAUUUAUGUAAACGUUUAUAAAUAAUUUAUGUAUCUCUACUAUUUUGGUGAA